CGCGUAGGAAUCUACCCAGUAGUGGGGGACAACUUGGGGAAACCCAAGCUAAUACCGCAUACGCCCUACGGGGAAAAGCGGGGGACCGUUCGGGCCGUCGUGCUAUUGGAUGAGCCUGCGUCGGAUUAGCUAGUUGGUGGGGUAAGAGCUCACCAAGGCGACGAUCCGUAGCUGGUCUGAGAGGAUGAUCAGCCACACUGGAACUGAGACACGGUCCAGACUCCUACGGGAGGCAGCAGUGGGGAAUAUUGCGCAAUGGGCGAAAGCCUGACGGAGCAACGCCGCGUGAGGGAUGAAGGC
Molecule: ribosomal RNA, 300 nt
Filed under: uncultured Alteromonadales bacterium
Lineage: Bacteria; Pseudomonadati; Pseudomonadota; Gammaproteobacteria; Alteromonadales
Description: bacterial SSU rRNA
Rfam family: Bacterial small subunit ribosomal RNA
Source: RNAcentral